CUUCGUAAUCCGCAACAGCAGGUGGGGCCGGAAACGUACCUGGCCCACCAGCCAGCCUAAGAAUGUCCGAUGGCAACAGCGCUACCGCCGGCCGGCGACGGCGGACGAAGCGUCUCAGCGCGGAGAAAGGGGGCGAGCAGCCUAGAGAGAGGGAGAGAGAUACGCGGGAAGUAGGCGGUGCGGCGGGGAGACGCCGUCAUAUGGACCGGCCCGCCGCCGCCGGUUGUUUCCGCCGCACCAGCAAGGGCUACACGAUCCAGACAAUUAGAGCUCCUGAGAAGUAGAGGAUGUUGUUGAUUCAACGUGCACUUGAACACCCUCUAACAGCGGAAUCUGAAAAGGUUCUUCAGAUCCCGGUAGGUGAAUGCUGCUUCUCUCAUGGCAUCUGCUUUCUUCUCAGGCCAGUUAGGGAAGUGCUUGAGCACUGCCCGUUCGUCUAUCAGUUCACUUGGCUGGUAUAUUUUUUAGAUUUACCUUGAGCUGUCGGUGUGCUAUUUUACACCAACCAAGAGGUAAAGGUUUUUUAUCAUUCUUCUUUCUCUGAAAAAUAUGUCAUUUUCCUUCAUGCUUGGUUUCUUCUGAUUGCGCUUUUGUCCUUUUUGUGAAGUUGUGACAGCAAAAGCCUGAAUACAAGCUUUCUUCUGCCUCAAGCUGUGUAAAAGGAACUCAGAUGGAACUCCUUUACCAGCCCUGGACACCUUUGGCUAAUAAGACCAAGUGAAUAUUUUGAAAAGUAGAGGGACAAGAAGAAACAAAAUAAAGCCAAGCAAAAGAAGGGGAAAAGCAGAUCUGAAUGUGUUUAUCUUUCAAAACACACAGGUUUCUGGUGAAGCCUUUCCUACCUGUAUCUGAACAGCAUUGGGCAUCUGUUUAUGCCACCAAAUAUAGGCGGUAGCAGAACCCCAAAAACGACAUAUCAGUAGGUUUAGAAAAAGGAGUCCCUACAAAGAAAGAUUCUGGCAAUGUUAUAAAGAAAAUGUAGAAAUAAACUGUUACAGGAUGACAGCAGAUUAAGCUGGCAUCAAAGGUUACUCUGUGUACUCUGAGAUACAGGUACCAUUGUAACGUCCCUGAUCCGUAGGGAACUGAGGCCAUGUUUAAGGAGUUCAUUGAUGUCGCUGCGUCAGUUUCCAUGCUCGGAUUGGGUGCGAUUUGUGUAGAAUGCGAUCUCAGUACCUGGUUGGUGGAAGUACUGCAUACAUAUAUGCAGUGCGGUGCAUCAACUGCGAGAGAUGCUUUGCAUGGACCCCCUGUGACUCGUUACGCCUAAUGAUGUACCAACAAUUGCACUCAUAAAUGUAAGGAGUGUCUGGGACUGAGUAGUGAUUAUUUUCAAUUA
Aegilops tauschii subsp. strangulata is the source of this 1339-nucleotide non-coding RNA. The record is from RefSeq and is a predicted model, not a curated record. Lineage: Eukaryota; Viridiplantae; Streptophyta; Magnoliopsida; Poales; Poaceae.